UACGGAGGGUGCGAGCGUUAAUCGGAAUUACUGGGCGUAAAGCGCACGCAGGCGGUUUGUUAAGCUAGAUGUGAAAGCCCCGGGCUCAACCUGGGAUGGUCAUUUAGAACUGGCAGACUAGAGUCUUGGAGAGGGGAGUGGAAUUCCAGGUGUAGCGGUGAAAUGCGUGGAUAUCUGGAGGAACAUCAGUGGCGAAGGCGACUCCCUGGCCAAAGACUGACGCUCAUGUGCGAAAGUGUGGGUAGCGAACAGG
RNAcentral lists this ribosomal RNA (253 nucleotides) under uncultured bacterium. Its description in RNAcentral is "partial 16S ribosomal RNA". It matches the Rfam family "Bacterial small subunit ribosomal RNA", at positions 524 to 776 of the family's 1533-position model. The record is from RNAcentral.